UCCCUGGUGGCUCAGUCGGUAAAGCAUCUGUCUUCAAUGCGGGAGACCUGGGUUCGAUCCCUGGGUCGGGAA
This is a non-coding RNA of Bos taurus (domestic cattle), 72 nucleotides long. Lineage: Eukaryota; Metazoa; Chordata; Mammalia; Artiodactyla; Bovidae. The record is from Rfam.